This 240-nucleotide ribosomal RNA is filed under the name uncultured eukaryote. Its description in RNAcentral is "partial 18S ribosomal RNA". It matches the Rfam family "Eukaryotic small subunit ribosomal RNA", at positions 1208 to 1456 of the family's 1831-position model. The record is from RNAcentral.
UGAAAUCUCACCAGGCCCGGACACUGGAAGGAUUGACAGAUUGAUAGCUCUUUCUUGAUUCGGUGGGUGGUGGUGCAUGGCCGUUCUUAGUUGGUGGAGCGAUCUGUCUGGUUAAUUCCGAUAACGAACGAGACCCCAACCUGCUAACUAGCCCUCGGGUCCUGCUUCUGUUGGGCCCGACGGAAUGAUUCGCUUCUUAGAGGGACUCGCGGCGCCUAGCCGCACGAAGGGGGGCGAUAA